This 549-nucleotide ribosomal RNA is filed under the name uncultured bacterium. RNAcentral's name for it is "bacterial SSU rRNA". It matches the Rfam family "Bacterial small subunit ribosomal RNA", at positions 355 to 895 of the family's 1533-position model. The record is from RNAcentral.
UAGGGAAUCUUCCGCAAUGGGCGAAAGCCUGACGGAGCAACGCCGCGUGAGUGAUGAAGGUCUUCGGAUCGUAAAACUCUGUUAUUAGGGAAGAACAUAUGUGUAAGUAACUGUGCACAUCUUGACGGUACCUAAUCAGAAAGCCACGGCUAACUACGUGCCAGCAGCCGCGGUAAUACGUAGGUGGCAAGCGUUAUCCGGAAUUAUUGGGCGUAAAGCGCGCGUAGGCGGUUUUUUAAGUCUGAUGUGAAAGCCCACGGCUCAACCGUGGAGGGUCAUUGGAAACUGGAAAACUUGAGUGCAGAAGAGGAAAGUGGAAUUCCAUGUGUAGCGGUGAAAUGCGCAGAGAUAUGGAGGAACACCAGUGGCGAAGGCGACUUUCUGGUCUGUAACUGACGCUGAUGUGCGAAAGCGUGGGGAUCAAACAGGAUUAGAUACCCUGGUAGUCCACGCCGUAAACGAUGAGUGCUAAGUGUUAGGGGGUUUCCGCCCCUUAGUGCUGCAGCUAACGCAUUAAGCACUCCGCCUGGGGAGUACGACCGCAAGGUU